Molecule: ribosomal RNA, 253 nt
Filed under: uncultured bacterium
Lineage: Bacteria
Description: partial 16S ribosomal RNA
Rfam family: Bacterial small subunit ribosomal RNA
Source: RNAcentral
UACGGAGGGGGCUAGCGUUAUUCGGAAUUAUUGGGCGUAAAGGGCGUGUAGGCGGUCGUACAUGUCUCAUGUGAAAGCCCUCGGCUCAACCGAGGAACUGCAUGGGAAACGGUGCGACUUGAGUCCGGGAGAGGAUAGUGGAAUUCCCAGUGUAGCGGUGAAAUGCGUAGAUAUUGGGAGGAACACCGGUGGCGAAGGCGGCUAUCUGGACCGGUACUGACGCUGAGACGCGAAAGCCAGGGGAGCAAACGGG